CCGAAUUCGUCGACAACCUGGUUGAUCCUGCCAGUAGUCAUAUGCUUGUCUCAAAGAUUAAGCCAUGCAUGUCUAAGUGCACGCCUUUAUACGGUGAAACCGCGAAUGGCUCAUUAAAUCAGCUAUGGUUUAUUGGAUCGUACCCGUUAAAUGGAUAACUGUAAUAACUCUAGAGCUAAUACAUGCCACGAUGCCCUGACCCGCAAGGGAAUGGGUGCACUUAUUAGAUCAGAAGCCAACCGAGUAUCAGUGCCUUGUGUACUGGUGCUUGUUGUCGUUCUGGUGACUCUGGAUAAUUGUUACAGAUCGCAGUCGGCCUUGAGUCGGCGACGGGUCCUUCAAAUGUCUGCCCUAUCAACUUUCGAUGGUAGGUGACCUGCCUACCAUGGUGAUUACGGGUAACGGGGAAUCAGGGUUUGAUUCCGGAGAGGGAGCCUGAGAAACGGCUACCACUUUCAAGGGAGGCAGCAGGCGCGCAAAUUACCCACUCCCGGUACGGGGAGGUGGUGACGAAAAAUACCGAUGCGGAUUUUUGAACGAGGCUCCGUAAUCGGAANGAGUGAACUCUAAAUCCUUUCACGAGGAUCAAUUGGAGGGCAAGUUUGGUGCCAGCAGCCGCGGUAACUCCAGCUCCAAUAGCGUAUAUUAAAGUUGCUGCAGUUAAAAAGCUCGUAGUUGGAUCUCGGUAUCACUGUUGCCUGCCUAAUCUUGGCUGUUGUGCUUGUGUGCAUGUCUGCCUAGUGUAGGCUGCCUCAGGUGUGGCAUGUUGAGUGGGUUUGGUGGCGGUGUCACCUUUUAGCCAUGUCUGUGGUGCAAUACCCACAGGUGUAUGCGGGUGUUAAGCGGUGCUCUGCAACAGUAGGGUCCGUCGGCUCGUUUGCAUGCCUCUGGAUGCCCUUUAAAAGGUGUCCUAGGGCGGAUGGCACGUUUACUUUGAACAAAUUUGAGUGCUCAAACCAGGCCGAUGUUGCCUGAAAAGUUUUGCAUGGAAUAAUGGAAUAGGACUUCGGUUCUAUUUUGUUGGUUUUCGGAUCCGAAGUAAUGAUCAAAAGAGACAGGCGGGGACGUUUGUAUGGCUGCGCUAGAGGUGAAAUUCAUGGACCGUAGCCAGACAAACUAAAGCGAAAGCAUUCGUCAAGCAUGUUUUCAUUGACCAUGAGCGAAAGUCAGAGGCUCGAAGACGAUCAGAUACCGUCCUAGUUCUGACCAUAAACGAUGCCAACUGACGAUCCGUGGUGGUAGUAAAACAACCAUCCCCACGGGCAGUCCCCGGGAAACCUUUAAUUUUUGGUUUUCGGGGGAAGUAUGGUUGCAAAGUGAAAUUAAGGGAUUGACGGAAGGCACCACCAGGAGUGGGCCUGCGGCUUAAUUCGACUCAACACGGGAAAAUCACCCGGCCCGGACACUGUGAGGAUUGACAGAUUGAUAGCUCUUUCUUGAUUUAGUGGUUGGUGGUGCAUGGCCGUUCUUAGUUGGUGGAGCGAUUUGUCUGGUUAAUUCCGGUAACGAACGAGACUCUAACCUGCUAAUUAGUGCACUUGUCCUCUGUUCCUGUGUAGGUGGCGUUUCAGUGAGACUGCCCAUUUUAGCUGCUUUCCAUAUAGCUGCCUCGUUGGCCAGUAGCAUUCGUGUUGCUAGUUGAUGUUGUAGCUGUGUUGGUUAGUGGUUUGGGUGGUUGACCUAGCGUUUACUUCCGGGUUCGGCGCAGGUGUUUACUUCUUAGAGGGACAGGCGGAUGAAGCCGCACGAAAUUGAGCAAUAACAGGUCUGUGAUGCCCUUAGAUGUCCGGGGCCGCACGCGCGCUACAAUGACGGUGCCAACGAGUCUGAUCUUCUAGCCCGAAAGGGUUGGGUAAACUGGUCAAUCACCGUCAUGACAGGGAUCGGGGCUUGGAAUUGUUCCCCGUGAACGAGGAAUUCCUAGUAAGUGCAAGUCAUAAGCUUGCGCUGAUUACGUCCCUGCCCUUUGUACACACCGCCCGUCGCUACUACCGAUUGAAUGGUUUAGUAAGGUUUUUGGAUUGGCGCCAUUGUANCAAUUUACCGUAAGGUGGCUUGCUCGACAGGUCUUGAGAAAGAUGACCAAACUUGAUCAUUUANAGGAAAGUUAAAAUCGUAACCAAGGGUUUNCGUNAANGG
RNAcentral lists this ribosomal RNA (2139 nucleotides) under Spathebothrium simplex. RNAcentral describes it as "SSU rRNA". It matches the Rfam family "Eukaryotic small subunit ribosomal RNA". The record is from RNAcentral. Lineage: Eukaryota; Metazoa; Platyhelminthes; Cestoda; Spathebothriidea; Spathebothriidae.